UUGAGCAAGAUGGAGAAGCAGGGCACGUGCAUUACUAACUCAUCUUCAAAUAUAUUCCAAUAUUUCCACCCUACCUCUUAUAAGCUCUACCUAAUUAUAGCUACUUCAAAAAUUAACAAGUGAUGGAUGAGUUAGUUGUUCAUGUGCCCAUCUUCCCCAUCAUGACCCA
This 169-nucleotide microRNA precursor is filed under the name Corchorus capsularis. Its description in RNAcentral is "pre miRNA MIR164". It matches the Rfam family "MIR164 microRNA precursor family". Lineage: Eukaryota; Viridiplantae; Streptophyta; Magnoliopsida; Malvales; Malvaceae. The record is from RNAcentral.